GUAGGGUGCGAGCGUUAAUCGGAAUUACUGGGCGUAAAGUGUGCGCAGGUGGCCGCGCAAGUCGAGUGUGAAAUCCCCGAGCUUAACUUGGGAAUUGCGCUCGAAACUACGUGGCUCGAGUGUGGCAGAGGAAGGUGGAAUUCCACGUGUAGCGGUGAAAUGCGUAGAGAUGUGGAGGAACACCGAUGGCGAAGGCAGCCUUCUGGGCCAACACUGACGCUCAUGCACGAAAGCGUGGGGAGCAAACAGGAUUAGAUACCCUGGUAGUCCACGCCCUAAACGAUGUCAACUGGUUGUUGGGUCUUCACUGACUCAGUAACGAAGCUAACGCGUGAGGUUGACCGCCUGGGGAGUACGGCCGCAAGGUUG
RNAcentral lists this ribosomal RNA (369 nucleotides) under uncultured bacterium. RNAcentral's name for it is "bacterial SSU rRNA". It matches the Rfam family "Bacterial small subunit ribosomal RNA", at positions 527 to 896 of the family's 1533-position model. The record is from RNAcentral.